AUUAGUCAAUGCUCGCAAGAGUGAACUAGCUAACUGAAAUCACAUGAGUCACUCUGUUUGAUAAUUGUGAUAACGUAAGGGAAAAAAAUGAUAUUACCUUACUAUUAGUGUUGUCCAAAACUGGUGCCAGAAGACUCGGUAAGGCCAGAGACGCAAACGUUAGUCGUCUUAAUCAGGCGUAAAGGGUAUGUAGGCUGCUUUAAAUUUUUAAAUUUUUAAUAGCUCUUUAUAAAUAUAAUAAUAAUAAAAAUAAUAAUAAUAAUAAUAAUAAUUUAAUUUUAUAUUAAUAAAGUAAAAUUUAAAAUCAAUUAAAGCUAGGAUCAAAUUGAGGAUAAACCAAAUAAUACUUAGUGUAGGGUUGAUAUCUAUAGAUACUAAGGGGAAUACUAAAGGUGAAAGCUUUUUAUCUACUAAUGAUUGACGCUGAGAAACGAAGGUGAGAAUAGGAAAUAGGAUUAGAUACCCAGAUACCUCUCACUGUCAACGAUGAAUGGUGGUUGUUAGUUUUUAAAAAAACUGGUAACGAUGUUAACACGAUAACCAUUCCGCCUUGCGAGUACGGUUGCAAAACUGAAACCAAAAAAAUUAGUCGGUCUCGAAGCAAACGAAGUGAAGCAUGUUAUUUAAUUC
Molecule: ribosomal RNA, 630 nt
Filed under: Entoloma rugosiviscosum
Lineage: Eukaryota; Fungi; Basidiomycota; Agaricomycetes; Agaricales; Entolomataceae
Description: partial small subunit ribosomal RNA
Rfam family: Bacterial small subunit ribosomal RNA
Source: RNAcentral